RNAcentral lists this transfer RNA (73 nucleotides) under Felis catus (domestic cat). It matches the Rfam family "tRNA". From Rfam's summary of the family: Transfer RNA (tRNA) molecules are approximately 80 nucleotides in length. RNAcentral also lists the same sequence under 1 other name. Lineage: Eukaryota; Metazoa; Chordata; Mammalia; Carnivora; Felidae. The record is from Rfam by way of RNAcentral.
ACCUGGCUGGCUCAGUUGGUAGAGUAUGUGACUCUUGAUCUCGGGGUUGUGAGUUCAAGCCCCACGUUGGGGA